GAUGAACGCUGGCGGCGUGCCUAAUACAUGCAAGUCGAGCGAACAGACGAGGAGCUUGCUCCUCUGACGUUAGCGGCGGACGGGUGAGUAACACGUGGAUAACCUACCUAUAAGACUGGGAUAACUUCGGGAAACCGGAGCUAAUACCGGAUAAUAUAUUGAACCGCAUGGUUCAAUAGUGAAAGACGGUUUUGCUGUCACUUAUAGAUGGAUCCGCGCCGCAUUAGCUAGUUGGUAAGGUAACGGCUUACCAAGGCAACGAUGCGUAGCCGACCUGAGAGGGUGACCGCCCACACUGGAACUGAGACACGUUCCAGACUCCUACGGGAGGCAGCAGUAGGGAAUCUUCCGCAAUGGGCGAAGGCCUGACGGAGCAACGCCGCGUGAGUGAUGAAGGUCUUCGGAUCGUAAAACUCUGUUAUUAGGGAAGAACAAAUGUGUAAGUAACUAUGCACGUCUUGACGGUACCUAAUCAGAAAGCCACGGCUAACUACGUG
Molecule: ribosomal RNA, 497 nt
Filed under: uncultured bacterium
Lineage: Bacteria
Description: partial 16S ribosomal RNA
Rfam family: Bacterial small subunit ribosomal RNA
Source: RNAcentral